AAUCAACGCUGGCGGCGUGCCUCAGACAUGCAAGUCGAACGUGAAAGGCCUCUUCGGAAGCCGAGUAAAGUGGCGCACGGGUGAGUAACACGUGAGUAAUCUGCCUUCACGGUGGGGGAUACCAAUCGGAAACGGUUGUUAAUACCGCAUAAUGCAGCGGCAUCAUAAGAUGACAGUUGUUAAGCGGGGAGGCGAAGACAAUUCGUCCUCGCGCUGGAAGGAGGAGCUCGCGGCAGAUUAGGUAGUUGGUGGAGGUAACGGACUCACCAAGCCUGCGAUCUGUAACCGGCCUGAGAGGGCGGUCGGUCACACUGACACUUAGA
This 323-nucleotide ribosomal RNA is filed under the name uncultured bacterium. RNAcentral describes it as "bacterial SSU rRNA". It matches the Rfam family "Bacterial small subunit ribosomal RNA", at positions 32 to 324 of the family's 1533-position model. The record is from RNAcentral.